UACGUAGGGUCCAAGCGUUAUCCGGAAUUAUUGGGCGUAAAGAGCUCGUAGGCGGUUUGUCGCGUCUGCUGUGAAAACCGGAGGCUCAACCUCCGGCCUGCAGUGGGUACGGGCAAACUAGAGUGCGGUAGGGGAGAUUGGAAUUCCUGGUGUAGCGGUGGAAUGCGCAGAUAUCAGGAGGAACACCGGUGGCGAAGGCGGCUCUCUGGGCCUUACCUGACGCUGAGGAGCGAAAGCGUGGGUAGCGAACAGG
Molecule: ribosomal RNA, 253 nt
Filed under: uncultured bacterium
Lineage: Bacteria
Description: partial 16S ribosomal RNA
Rfam family: Bacterial small subunit ribosomal RNA
Source: RNAcentral